RNAcentral lists this ribosomal RNA (4420 nucleotides) under Metschnikowia colocasiae. RNAcentral's name for it is "large subunit ribosomal RNA". The record is from RNAcentral. Lineage: Eukaryota; Fungi; Ascomycota; Pichiomycetes; Serinales; Metschnikowiaceae.
AGGUAUAUGUUUAUUUCUCAUAAAUAUGAGAUAUAUAUUCUUAAUCCCGUAAAACAAGGUAAAUAUAUAUAUAUAAAUUAGUAUAUUUGCGAAUAUCACAAAUUAACUAAUACAUUAUAGUCUAUAAUGUAUAAACUUAUCUGAAGGAUUUAAUAUUUGAUAUGCAUUCAAUAUGUAAACACAACAUUCUUAGCUAAAAUUUUAUAAUUAACCAUAGGAAUGUACCUUAUUAUCCUUGCGUACACUUAAGGCAACAGAUAAGAAAAAAAUCCAUAGAUGAUAAAAUCAUUACUGACUCACGUCGUAAUUAACCCAUCUCAAGUAACUCCUUAGAGGACGAACAGUCCUACCCUACCUAGUUGCUGCGACCAGGAGGACGAGUCUAGACGACCAAUUUGUUAUCGUUAAAUUUUUUAUUUUAACUUCAAUAAUUUUCAUUAUUGUUCAGACUAUGUCUUAAAAUAUUCCCAGUUUUACGGGUAAUUAUAUGCGAUAUAAUAUAAAUUUAUAUUGAAAAGAUUUUAUCAUAAAUUUUAUUUAUAAAAUAUAAAUUAAACCUGCAAAGCAGGUAAAUAUUUCUAGGUAUUUCUUGGUAGGAUAUUGUUAUAUGUACUCACCUACUAGUCGUUGGACGUUUAUUAUCCUUUAUAACCUUAUUAUUAAAAAUUCCUUAUUUGGAAAAUUAACGAUAAGUAAUUAUACAUAUAGGAUAAUAAUUCGCUGCAAAUUAUCAUAGAUAUAAAUCCUUAGACUUCUUGCAAUUAAACCUAUUUAUACUCGACUAUCAUUAUUAAUCGAGGUGGCAAACACCGCUGACGAUAUCAACUCUCACGCGGUAUUACCCUGUUCAAUUUUGUUAUCGUUGUUUUUUUUAUUACAACUUCUAUAUAUCACUAUAUAGUUCAGACUAUGUCUUUACCUUCCCGCGAAGCGGGCAUUAUCUCCCAGAUAAAUCAAUCCCUGCGAAGCAGGGAUUGAUUUACAAAUAAUUCUAAGAAAUUAUUUAUUAUCUAUAACUUAUAUAUUUAAGUAUCUUCGGUAUAAUAUACCGAAGUAAUAACUUUACUUAUUAAAAAUAUUAGGUAACUUAUAUCUAAACAUAUCUAUUACAUAAGGAUUAAUUAAAUGGGAUAAAAUAUUUUAUAAUCUUUACUAGAUAUAUAAAUAAUAGGUUUUUUCUUAUUAUAAGCAAUAAAAGUAUUUUUAUUAUAUGGACCCAUAUGAUAAAUCCCCGAAGGAGGGAUUAAUUAUAUUUAGUAUUUUAAAUACUAAUGGGGAUUAAAUCUUUUUUUAUGAUAAAAUUUUUCAUCUCUUUUCUUAAAUAUGCCCGGCCGUAGGCCGGGAUUUGUAAAUGUAGUUAUAAAAUUACCCAAAAAGGGGUGAUGAUAAAUCACCUUUGGUGAUUAAUUAUAGAUAAUCUAUCUAAUGCCCGCUUCGCGGGGAGGUAUUGGGCUCUCGUGGUAAUAUUAUUGUUAGUUUACUCAAUUACUAGUCGUUGAACGUUCAUAUAUCUUAUAAAAAACUUACCCACCGUAGGUGGGCAUAUAUGCUUCGCUACAAAUUGUCUUUAUAUAGAUAAAGAGUUUUUUGUAAUUCACCCAAUUUAUAUACCCUUAUUAAAGGGUUAUCUCACUAUCGCGGAGAUAAUAUAUAUUUCUAUAUAAAGGAACUAACAUUUAAUCCCUAGCGUAACUUUAAUCCGUUAUCGACAUCCAUACCAUUUGUUUAUGCCUGUUCACUACACUCUACGUAAGUACUAAUUCCACUUGUUAGUGUUAUUAUCAUCGCACAAUUAUGUUGUUAUCCUUACUUAUAAUCUUACAGAAUUUUUCUGUUUUAUUCUAUUUACCAUAUAGAAUUAUUGUACGUAAUUUUCUAUUAAAUAAAAAAUUUAAUUAAACAUUAAGUCUUGAUAAUUCAAGAUCACUGUUAUUAGACACAUCAGAUGCUUUCGCUGAUGUCGACGCCCCAUCGAAACUAACCUCUUUACUCUUUCUUAAAUAAGUAAAACUUUAGUCAUUAGUAUAACUAAUAACCCUGUAUUACAGGGUAACUUGAUAUUAUCAAAUUUUGACUAUAUUAAUUAGAUUCUUUUUUUAUUUAUAUAGGUAUCUCAUUUUGUUUAAAUUAUAAAUAUAACCUAAUCUACUGAAAUAAAUAAAAAAAGGCUAAUCAUAACUAAGUUAUGAUUAAUAAUCAAAAUAAAGAUAUAGUAAAGCUGCAUAGGGUCUUUUUGUCAACCUACGGAUAUACGGCAUCUUCCAAUUCUGAUUAACUUAAGUAGGUUUGACCUACAAAGGUUUCUUACUUAUGUACUAAUAAGUUAUAUCAACAUAACUGAUAUAUCUUUCACCUUUAUAUAAUAAAUUUAUACCUCCCACCCAAAGGUGGGAGAUUUUUAUACCAUUUUUAUGAUAUCCCGCCAAAGGCGGCAUAUUAUAUUACAGAAUCCGACUGUACAUUUAGACAGACAUUUCAGUCUAACCUCGGUGAACCAGUCUGUAGCGACAUAUACAACUGCCGACGGUCUUUAACUAAGAUAUCAUUGACCGUUUUCACCUUUUUAUUUAUAGUGAUUAAAUUACAUUUUGCCUUAUGUAAUCUAUCCUCUAUUUGAGGAAUAAGUAUUAUUCGAUUGUAUUCUUACCACUAUAUAUUUAUAUAGUAUGAAUUUAUUAGAUAAAUUCAUUAAUACUCAUCUAUCUUUUAAGAUAUUUAAUAUUACCACCAUUGACGAACAUUAAAACUAUAAAGUUGGAUUCUCACCAACCCGGCGUAUAAUAUAAAUUUAAUAUUAUAGUACUAAUUUUCACCGCAAUUGCUAUUUCACUGAGUCUACUUUGGAUACAGUUAUCGCAUCGUAUAUUCAUUCAUGCAGGACGUCAAUUAUACGUCAAUGAAUUUCGCUACCUUCGGAUCCUCAGAAUAAGACCGCCGUUUAUCAGUCUUUUAUAAAAUUAUCUUAAUAAUAAUUAUAUUUAUUAAACUAACACCGGGCAGAUAUCACUUAUUAUACUUACUAUUACUAGUAUGCAAUAAGCUAUGUUUUUGGUAAACAGUCGCACGAUUUAUUUUGCCGAGUUCAUUCAAAGUAGUUAUCCCAUUCCCUUGUUAUCAUACCUGUGUCGGUCUACAGUACGGUUCAUUUUUAUUUUCUUGUUCUUUCACCCAUUAAUUAUAUAUUUCUAUAUUAAUCUUAGGGACCGUUCGUUUAUAGUAAAACCUUAUGAAUAAGGGGAUAAUCUUAUAUUAUCUAUCGUUACUCAAGCCAGCAAUCUCUUUAUAAUUAUCCAUUAUAUAUUCUGCUACCAUAUAAUCUUUUUAAUUAUAUCUAUAAUACUGUUAUUAAUUUAGACCCGAUAUAUUUUCUCUAUUAUUAAUAAAUAUAUAUAUUUAUAUAUAUAUAUAUAAAAUUAGUGCAUUGUUACAUGUUCAUUAAAAGUUGAUUAUUGUCAAACCCACUUACUAAUUGUCUAUAAUUUAAUUCCCCGUAUAUUAUUUCUUUAGUUAAACUAAAGAUAAAAUAAUGUAAAAUCAAUAUGAUUUUAACUUUUAUAAAUCUACUAAAGGUAGAUAUAAAAGUAGGAUAGAUUUUGUUCACUUAAUUAAUAUUUGGGACAUUCAUUUAAUAGUCUAGGUUGUUUCCUUCUCGACCUACUACCUUAUCGCAAUAAGUCUGACUCCUUAUAUUACAUUAUUAACUGAUUCCGAGGUUUAAAUAUUUUGAUAAAAUUAUAUUCUAAUUCCCCAAAGGUAUUUAAGUGCUGUACCAGUUUAAAUGCCUGCAAAGCAGGGAUAUAAAGGCUAUACUAAAAUAUAUUUCGCAGAAAACCAGCUAUCUGCAAACCAGAUUUGUCUGUCACAGCUACACACAUCUCUUUAGAAAUUAUUGCUACAAUUACCUAUUGAGUCAUAUAUAAACCUUUUAAGAUUUAAUAUACACUUGGACAUGUGUAGAUCGUUUGCUUUCGGGCCUAUAUACUUUAAUUUAUAUCUAUUUAUAUAUAAUAAAAAAUUUCACUAAAAUAUAUAACUCACUGGCCCAUUAUACAAGAGGUACACCAUUCUAUAAUUGCUCUUUAUUAUUCUAUUUACUUACUUUCCCUUGCGGUACUUUAAUCUAAAAUUUAAUUUUAUUUCUUAGUAGUUGGAAACUACUAUAUUCUUACCUCUUGGUAAUACUUUAAGAUUUUAAUAUUUUCACUCACCGUUACUAAUAUUAUCCCUGUUGGUUAUUUAACAAGUUACUCAGAUGUUUCAUUCCACUUGUUUUAUUUUUUAUCAUUUUCAUGAUUAUGAUUGAUUACUGUUAUUUACAGUUCCUCCCUAAGAAGGUACAUCUUUAUAUCAUUUUUUAAAUUUUGAUUCGUAAUCCUUAAAAUAAUAUUAAUUACAUAUACCAUUUUUCAAUAUAUCACCU